Grus americana (Whooping crane) is the source of this 1048-nucleotide long non-coding RNA. RefSeq lists it as uncharacterized. The transcript is spliced from 4 exons. The record is from RefSeq and is a predicted model, not a curated record. Lineage: Eukaryota; Metazoa; Chordata; Aves; Gruiformes; Gruidae.
AGUGCUUCAAGGCCACCAGGUUGAUCUCAGGAGAUAUCCCCGUCCUCAGUGAUAUUCAGUCAAUACAAGGGUGAAUUUAACAGCAAACUGUCUUGCUGGGGAUUUAGGUAGUAGCAGGGACUAUUCAGGAUGCUUAGCCUGGAAGCAAAAUGAAAAAAAUGCCUCAACUGGGCUCUAUAAGAGAGACAUUUAUAGAAUUUGGGGGGGGGGGGGGGGGCGGAACUUCCAGCCCAUCUCUCUGUACCAGGCUGGGGACUGUCUGCUCCCCCAGCUCCGUUGCAGAGGAGCUGCAAUGUUAUCUCCCCGGUGCAGGCUCCAGCUGAUGUGAAACCCCAGCAGAUAAACACAGGGUUGGCCACUGCCCAACAAUGCGCUGCAAACCAAAUAUGCAAGAUCCGGCCUCAAAAUACACCAGCAAUACUGGGGUGGGUGGAGAGACUCAUCCUCUCCUAGACUCCUGCUGGAGGGCACCUACCAGAUGGGAGAAGCUUUGCCUAAACACUGGCUCCUCUGCAAGGAGUAAAACUGGAGGAGGAGGAAGGUCCACAAGCGACCCAUGCUGCUCUGAAGAUUUGCACAAAGAAAAUGCAACCUGCAAGCACCAACCUUGCUGCAAGCACGGGGAAAAAUUCUGCAGAAGAGCAAAACACCAACAGUAAUCAACAGCCCAUGUCCCAGGAAGUAUGUAAGGGCAUCUACAUUUGGGGACAGGACAAGGACUUGAUGGACCUUCAUCUGAAUCCCUGUGUCCAGUUUCUUGCUUGACUAAAGUCCAGUGCGUCAGGGAUCACGUGGAGCCAACACCAAAAGGAGCAUUCCCAUCUCUAUUUGCUGUGUUUGACAGCGCAGAAAACUCAGGUUUAUCAUCUCCCUGUGCAGUGGGGUUUAGAGAGGAACGAGGAUGAUUUUUCCUUCCUCCAGUUAUUUUAAGCACCUUUUAAAGAAAACCCACACGGAAAAAACAAACAAACCAAAAAACACAACCAAACAAAAAAAAACCUACCAAAAACCACACAAGGCAGAAAUUACUUUGAAUCACAUGUUUACU